AUACGGAGGGGGUGAGCGUUGUUCGGAAUUACUGGGCGUAAAGGGCGCGUAGGCGGAGUGCCAAGUCAGGGGUGAAAGGCCCGGGCUCAACCCGGGAACUACCCUUGAAACUGGCACACUAGAGUCCGGGAGAGGAUGGCGGAAUUCCCAGUGUAGAGGUGAAAUUCGUAGAUAUCGGGAGGAACACCAGUGGCGAAGGCGGCUGUCUGGACCAGUUCUGACGCUGAGGUGCGAAAGCGUGGGGAGCAAACAGGAUUAGAAACCCGGGUAGUCC
This 274-nucleotide ribosomal RNA is filed under the name uncultured bacterium. RNAcentral's name for it is "partial 16S ribosomal RNA". It matches the Rfam family "Bacterial small subunit ribosomal RNA", at positions 523 to 796 of the family's 1533-position model. The record is from RNAcentral.